RNAcentral lists this small RNA (260 nucleotides) under Arabidopsis thaliana (thale cress). RNAcentral describes it as "ATSL209700". Lineage: Eukaryota; Viridiplantae; Streptophyta; Magnoliopsida; Brassicales; Brassicaceae. The record is from RNAcentral.
UACUUUUUCAAAUUAAAUUACAAAUUGUUUCCUUCAAAUCACCCACAUUCUUUUAAAUCACAAAUUGUUUUCUUCUAUUUCCUCCUUUUUAAAUUUGCUUAGAGAAGAGUCAAAAAUUAUGUAGGGGUAUUUACGGCAAAAAUGACAAUUCAUAAUAAAAAUGUAUAUGAGCAAACUUUUUUUUUUUUUUCCAGUUUUCCCAUUUAAAUUUGGAUACACAUGUCCUAUAUUGUAUUGUGUAUCUUUUUUUCUUUUCUUAU